Molecule: ribosomal RNA, 380 nt
Filed under: uncultured eukaryote
Lineage: Eukaryota
Description: partial 18S ribosomal RNA
Rfam family: Eukaryotic small subunit ribosomal RNA
Source: RNAcentral
CAAUAGCGUAUAUUAAAGUUGUUGCAGUUAAAAAGCUCGUAGUUGGAUUUGUGGCGUACGGUGUGUUCCGGGCACUUGUUGUCUGAGUAACCUGCUGUUGCCAUCCUUGGGUGGAACCUGUGUGGCAUUAGGUUGUCGUGCAGGGGAUGCCCAUCAUUUACUGUGAAAAAAUUAGAGUGUUCAAAGCAGGCUUAUGCCGUUGAAUAUAUUAGCAUGGAAUAAUGAGAUAGGACUUUUUUGCUAUUUUGUUGGUUUGCGCAAGAAGGUAAUGAUUAAUAGGGACAGUUGGGGGUAUUCGUAUUCCAUUGUCAGAGGUGUAAUUCUUGGAUUUUUGGAAGACGAACUACUGCGAAAGCAUUUACCAAGGAUGUUUUCAUUAA